GGUUAAAAAGCUCGUAGUUGGAUCUCGGCGGGUAGAAGGCGGUACACUGCUAAGUGUUACUGCCUUAUUACCCGUAGUUUUUGCUAGAGGUUUCAGGGUGCUCUUAAUCGAGUGUCCUGGGAUGCUAGCAGGUUUACUUUGAAAAAAUUAGAGUGCUCAAAGCAGGCUACUACGCUUGAAUAUUCGUGCAUGGAAUAAUAGAAUAGGAAGUCGUUUCUAUUUUGUUGGUUUUCGGAAAUCGACUUAAUGAUUAAUAGGGACAGUCGGGGGCAUUUGUAUUCAAACGACAGAGGUGAAAUUCUUGGACCGUUUGAAGACAAACUACUGCGAAAGCAUUUGCCAAGAAUGUUUUCUUUAAUCAAGAACGAAAGUUAGAGGUUCGAAGGCGAUUAGAUACCGCCCUAGUUCUAACCAUAAACGAUGCCAGCUAGCGAUCUGCGGACGUUUUUUUUGUAGACUCCGCAGGAAGCUUCCGGGAAACCAAAGCGUGUGGGUUCCGGGGGAAGUAUGGU
RNAcentral lists this ribosomal RNA (512 nucleotides) under uncultured marine eukaryote. RNAcentral's name for it is "SSU rRNA". It matches the Rfam family "Eukaryotic small subunit ribosomal RNA", at positions 617 to 1129 of the family's 1831-position model. The record is from RNAcentral.